GGAGGGGUAGCCAAGUGGCCAACGGCAACAGACUGUAAAUCUGUCGGUCCUCGACCUUCGGUGGUUCGAAUCCACCCCCCUCCACAA
This 87-nucleotide transfer RNA is filed under the name Archangium gephyra. RNAcentral describes it as "tRNA-Tyr". It matches the Rfam family "tRNA". Rfam says of the family: Transfer RNA (tRNA) molecules are approximately 80 nucleotides in length. The record is from RNAcentral. Lineage: Bacteria; Pseudomonadati; Myxococcota; Myxococcia; Myxococcales; Archangiaceae.